This 77-nucleotide transfer RNA is filed under the name Candidatus Poribacteria bacterium. Its description in RNAcentral is "tRNA-Val". It matches the Rfam family "tRNA". From Rfam's summary of the family: Transfer RNA (tRNA) molecules are approximately 80 nucleotides in length. The record is from RNAcentral. Lineage: Bacteria; Candidatus Poribacteria.
GGGCGGGUAGCUCAGUUGGCUAGAGCGAUGGCCUUACAAGCCAUAGGUCACAGGUUCAAAUCCUGUCUCGCCUACCA